This 2704-nucleotide ribosomal RNA is filed under the name Triticum aestivum (bread wheat). Its description in RNAcentral is "partial small subunit ribosomal RNA". The record is from RNAcentral. Lineage: Eukaryota; Viridiplantae; Streptophyta; Magnoliopsida; Poales; Poaceae.
CCCAAAGAAACACGUUAAGAGCCGAACCCUUGUGCUCUCCAAACGCGUACCAGUUCAUCGUCAGCAUCCACCAGCCAUAAAUAAUCUGGUAGCACAGCAGCACCAGCACAGGCGAUGGCGGAGUUCUCGUGGCUCACGGCGCUAGGGUUCGCCUUCCUGACCUUCAACUCCGGCAUGGCCGUGUACCGCUCCAACGGCGACGCGGGGUCCGUCGUCUUCGUCGCCGUCUCCUACCUCGACCUCGUCGCCCUCUUCGCCUGCCUGCGCCUCUACGAGCGCCUCGACCGCCACUCCCCGCGCCGGGAGCGGCUCAAGGCCGCCGUCUGGGCGCUCACCACGCUGCUCACCGUCAUGUUCACCUACAAGGUCGCCGAGGUCAUGCCGCUCGCCGUCAAGCUCCUCGUCUGGGCGAUGGCCGCCGCCACCACCUGCGGCGGCUUCUACGUCUUCUUCGUGCACGACGACAAGCCGUACCAGCAGCUGCAGGACGCGUCGGCGGCCGCCGAGCGCGGGGACGUCGCCAACUAGUGGCUAUAUUAGACGGCGGCUGGGCGCUGGCCGCCGCGAGGUACGUGCUUCGGUGCUAACAGCGGCGUCGGGCGUUAGAUCUAGGGCCAAACCACUAGGUUGUUAUUGUGUCUUGGCUGUUUCGUUUCCCUUUUUUUGCCGAUUUGCUGUCACUUGGUCUGCUUUGGCUUGCCGGCGUGCUCGGAUUAGCAGAUCUGGAAUUUGGCCAUCGGCAGAGGAGAUCUGUUCAGUUUGAUGACGUGCUUGUUGAUCAAAUUAAUAAUUGUGUGCUCUGUUGAGAAGUGAGUUUGUGUUAAUUAUGAUUCCCGAUUGGGCCAUCAAAUUGGGCGUGUGCCCGCCACGCGGCCCACAAGGAGGAAGAAACUGCGACAGCUUGAGGUAAGUUGAGUGGAUUGCAAUUGUGUAAGGGCUCUAUUUGCAUCAGGAGGAGGGUAGGGGAACGGAUGCUGAGGGAGUAGACAAGAAACCAGAGAAAUCCUUAGUGUGCAAAAGUGGAUGAUCCCUUGGUACAGAGGUGGUGUAGAAACUGCAAAUAGUUUCCUUGAAUUUGUGUGAAAAUAGUGAAUUGUCGUGACUAGCCAAAGUUGAGAUGAUAUGAAGACAGACGAACUGCAGGACAACAUAUGAGCGAAACAAGCAGAGGCAUAAGUGAAGAUUGCAGAUACAAUGGAAAUUCAUCUGCACAAUAAGACAACAAGCUAGAAAUGUUGUACUUGUUAAGUUGUCUCAUCUGAUGCACCCAUCAGUGGUUUGCAGUAUGCUGACGGGAACUAUAGAUUGAACAUAUGGCAACUGGAAAUUUGAUAAACAAAUGGAAAAAUAUUCAACUGUAUUUGAGGUAUGAGACCAAGAGUCGAAAUCAUUUAACCAUUGGUGGCCUCAUCAGCUUGCAAUUGUUUCUGCACUCUCUUAAAGAUUUCAGCUGAUUUAUGUCCCUGCUUGUAAAGAGCGGCUGGGUUACUGUUAACCACCUGGAUGAAGAUCUUUUCAUGGAUCAUUCAAGAAACUUGGCGAAGUGCAGAGAUCCUUCAUACCUUCCUCUUGUCAAGAAAAUACAACUAAGACAAUAAAUGGACAAUUGUUCAACUGAAUUUGAGAUAUUGAGAUCAGGGGUCAAAAUCAUUCAACCAUUGGUGGCCUCAUCAGUGUGCAAUUGUUUUUGUACUCUCUUAAAGAUUUCAGCUGAUUUAUGUCCCUGCUUGUGAAGAGCAGCUGGUUUACUCUGAACUUGAUGCAAAAGUAUGGAUGCUGGGAAUCAUGAAGGAGAUUGGAGAGCCAGAACUUGAUGCAAAAGUAUUGGAUGCUGGGAAUCAUGGAUUCAAGAAAAUUUGCAAAGUGCAGAGAUCCUUCAUAUACCUUCAACAGAAUAUGACUAGACAAGGUUGCGUGCAGAGACUGGAGAGCCAGAAUAAUAAUGAGUAGGGAAGUUGUUCAAGUCAGAAGAACAAUGUGGAGAGAACUAGUUCAUGUUUGCUGUUUCGGUUUACCAGCAUACAGAUGAACUGUUCGUAAUGAAAAUAUAACCACAGACUAAGACAGCUCAUUGAUAACUAUGUGUAGUGGGAGCUAGGAAAUGGCCAUUGGAAUAUAUUAUCAGCAGUAAUGGAUGACACGUACAAGGGAAUAAAUACAAGGAAAUUACAAAGCUGCGGAUGUUCAAAGAGAAUGAAAUAUACUACAGCUAUGACGAUGCUGAUGCCAAUGCCAAUUCCGAUGCUAAUUCUUUGUCACAUUAUCCGGCAAGCCGACAGCAAGGUGAGUUUCAAGGGAAGAGAAAAGGCCAAGAUAUACUAACCCCUAGUUGCCCAAAAUCUAAUUUGCCGUCGCUGUUGCCUGACGUAUGUGCUGCGCUGUAGCAAGUUCCCAGCCUGCCCUAUUACGCGUUUAAGUUGAAUAAAUUCCACUAUCUGCGAGCUAUAAGUUAUAACGUUUCUAUGAACUGUAUUAUGUCUAUCUAUGAUUAUAUUGUAUGUCGUUCAUGUCGGUCGAGCUCUGACUAGUUCUCGGAAGCGUUCUUGAUGGUCAGGUUAUGUAUUGCACACUACUGGUGCCAACUCUACUAUCAUUUGCUCCUCGUUGUAAUGCUCAUGGUCUGUAUUCAGUACGUUCUUCUGUAUAAUGCUUGCUUCUUUGCAGUCCUAGUAAUAAUGCAUUAUCCUGGAAAUGCUUGCUAUCC